ACCUGGCAGGGCUGACUCUGGGAAUACGAUUUUAAAGCCCAGGUCCUCCAUGUUUCCCUCGGACUCCUCUCUAUCUCUCUCCUUCACUCCUCCAUCAGCCUCUCCUCCCGGAAGUGUGAACAGGGCUCCUCUCAGCCAAUCAGAAGCUUCAAACGCCUUCAGCUGACCUACCAGGCCGAAGCCACGCCCCCUGAACGCGACCUUCGACCUUAACAACGGGGGAGUCUUUAGAUACCGUCUCCCAGCAACGUGACCGCCACUUCACCCGAAACAAAAUGCUCGUGACCAGAAAACCCCGCCCCUUUUGGUCGAGCGGCUGCUCUGAUUGGC
Molecule: non-coding RNA, 330 nt
Organism: Pelobates cultripes (western spadefoot toad)
Lineage: Eukaryota; Metazoa; Chordata; Amphibia; Anura; Pelobatidae
Source: the annotation of a GenBank genome assembly